This 117-nucleotide non-coding RNA is filed under the name Chlorocebus sabaeus (green monkey). Lineage: Eukaryota; Metazoa; Chordata; Mammalia; Primates; Cercopithecidae. The record is from Rfam by way of RNAcentral.
GCCGGGCGCGGUGGCUCACGCCUGUAAUCCCAGCACUUUGGGAGGCCGAGGCAGGCGGAUCACCUGAGGCCAGGAGUUCAAGACCUGCCUGGCCAACAUGGUGAAACCCCGUCUCUA